Molecule: ribosomal RNA, 272 nt
Filed under: uncultured bacterium
Lineage: Bacteria
Description: partial 16S ribosomal RNA
Rfam family: Bacterial small subunit ribosomal RNA
Source: RNAcentral
ACCUGGUCUUGACAUACUAAGAACUUUCCAGAGAUGGAUUGGUUCCUUCGGGAACUUACAUACAGGUGCUGCAUGGCUGUCGUCAGCUCGUGUCGUGAGAUGUUGGGUUAAGUCCCGCAACGAGCGCAACCCUUUUCCUUAUUUGCCAGCGGGUUAAGCCGGGAACUUUAAGGAUACUGCCAGUGACAAACUGGAGGAAGGCGGGGAGGACGUCAAGUCAUCAUGGCCCUUACGACCAGGGCUACACACGUGCUACAAUGGUCGGUACAAAG